This 460-nucleotide ribosomal RNA is filed under the name uncultured bacterium. Its description in RNAcentral is "partial 16S ribosomal RNA". It matches the Rfam family "Bacterial small subunit ribosomal RNA", at positions 338 to 795 of the family's 1533-position model. The record is from RNAcentral.
CCUACGGGUGGCAGCAGUGAGGAAUAUUGGUCAAUGGACGAGAGUCUGAACCAGCCAAGUCGCGUGAAGGAAGACUGCCCUAGGGGUUGUAAACUUCUUUUAUCGGGGAAUAAAGUUCAGUAUGUAUACCGUUUUGUAUGUACCAUAUGAAAAAGGAUCGGCUAACUCCGUGCCAGCAGCCGCGGUAAUACGGAGGAUCCGAGCGUUAUCCGGAUUUAUUGGGUUUAAAGGGAGCGUAGGCGGACCCGUAAGUCAGUUGUUAAAGGUUGGGGCUCAACCGCAGACUUGCCGUUGAGACUGGGGGUCUUGAGUGGAGGAGAGGUAGGCGGAAUUCGUGGUGUAGCGGUGAAAUGCUUAGAUAUCACGAAGAACUCCGAUUGCGAAGGCAGCUUACCGGAGUCGAACUGACGCUGAGGCACGAAAGUGUGGGGAUCGAACAGGAUUAGAUACCCGAGUAGUC